UACAGAGGGUGCAAGCGUUAAUCGGAAUUACUGGGCGUAAAGCGUGCGUAGACGGUCAUGUAAGUCGGGUGUGAAAGCCCCGGGCUCAACCUGGGAAUUGCAUUCGAGACUGCAUGGCUAGGAUGCGGAAGAGGGAAGCGGAAUUUCCGGUGUAGCGGUGAAAUGCGUAGAUAUCGGGAGGAACACCAGUGGCGAAGGCGGUUGCCUGGGGCUUUGCUGACGCUGAUGCGCGAAAGCGUGGGGAGCGAUCCGG
This 253-nucleotide ribosomal RNA is filed under the name uncultured bacterium. Its description in RNAcentral is "partial 16S ribosomal RNA". It matches the Rfam family "Bacterial small subunit ribosomal RNA", at positions 524 to 776 of the family's 1533-position model. The record is from RNAcentral.